RNAcentral lists this unclassified non-coding RNA (225 nucleotides) under Hevea brasiliensis (rubber tree). Lineage: Eukaryota; Viridiplantae; Streptophyta; Magnoliopsida; Malpighiales; Euphorbiaceae. The record is from RNAcentral.
GAGAGUUGCAGAACGUCCUCUGCUUCUGCUGCAAAAAUGGACAGACGAGCCCCUCUUCCUCUCCUUUCUUUUGCCAAAAAAUCUCUCCCUUUCUUCUUAUGGAAAUAAAUAGAUAAAGGAGGUUUUAUAUGGGUCAGAGAUCUGCCAUAGAAUGAGUAAAAAUGUGGAAGAUUCCAGAGAAAGUGAGUUAUUAAAUCAGAUGAACGAAAAUGCCACGUCAGCCAU